CAGCCGCCGCGGUAAUACGUAGGGUGCGAGCGUUAAUCGGAAUUACUGGGCGUAAAGCGUGCGCAGGCGGUUCGUUAAGACAGAUGUGAAAUCCCCGGGCUUAACCUGGGAACCGCGCUUGUGACUGCACAGCUAGAGUAUGGCAGAGGGGGGUGGAAUUCCACGUGUAGCAGUGAGAUGCGUAGAGAUGUGGAGGAACACCGAUGGCGAAGGCAGCCCCCUGGGCCAAUACUGACGCUCAUGCACGAAAGCGUGGGGAGCAAACAGGAUUAGAUACCCCAGUAGUCCCUGUCUCUUAUAC
Molecule: ribosomal RNA, 301 nt
Filed under: uncultured bacterium
Lineage: Bacteria
Description: partial 16S ribosomal RNA
Rfam family: Bacterial small subunit ribosomal RNA
Source: RNAcentral